RNAcentral lists this unclassified non-coding RNA (222 nucleotides) under Hevea brasiliensis (rubber tree). The record is from RNAcentral. Lineage: Eukaryota; Viridiplantae; Streptophyta; Magnoliopsida; Malpighiales; Euphorbiaceae.
AGACUUAUGCAUCCUCCACGAUAAAUUGAUGUCUAAAACCUUGAUCAGCUCCUCUCUCCUUUUAGGAUCAACUCCCGCGACUCCAAAUAUCAUUUUCUCGGCCGAAAUGUCCAUCUGUAUCGAGACCUCGAAACCAGCAAAUGCCACAUCUCUCCUCCACUCACCGCCCAAGUAGGACAGAUCGCCGGAGGAAAUGAGAGCUGUGUCAUGGAAAGCCGACCG